This 446-nucleotide ribosomal RNA is filed under the name uncultured Salinicola sp. RNAcentral describes it as "bacterial LSU rRNA". It matches the Rfam family "Bacterial large subunit ribosomal RNA", at positions 732 to 1176 of the family's 2925-position model. The record is from RNAcentral. Lineage: Bacteria; Pseudomonadati; Pseudomonadota; Gammaproteobacteria; Oceanospirillales; Halomonadaceae.
ACCCAUGACCAGGCUGAAGUUCAGGUAACACUGAAUGGAGGGCCGAACCGACUUACGUUAAAAAGUGACCGGAUGAGUUGUGGGUAGGGGUGAAAUUCCAAUCGAACCUGGAGAUAGCUCGUUCUCUCCGAAAUAUAUUUAGGUAUAGCCUCAUAUUAGCAUCGUGGAGGUAGAGCACUGUUUGGAUGAGGGGCCCAUCCCGGGUUACCGAGUUCAGACAAACUCCGAAUGCCACAGAUGUGAUGUAUGGGAGACACACGGCGGGUGCUAACGUCCGUCGUGAAAAGGGAAACAACCCAGACCGUCAGCUAAGGUCCCGAAAUCCUGGUUAAGUGGGAAACGAUGUGGGAAGGCUCAGACAGCUAGGAGGUUGGCUUAGAAGCAGCCAUCCUUUAAAGAAAGCGUAAUAGCUCACUAGUCGAGUCGGCCUGCGCGGAAGAUGUAAC